CCUACGGGGUGCUGCAGUGGGGAAUAUUGCACAAUGGGCGCAAGCCUGAUGCAGCCAUGCCGCGUGUGUGAAGAAGGCCUUCGGGUUGUAAAGCACUUUCAGCGGGGAGGAAGGCGUUAAGGUUAAUAACCCUGGCGAUUGACGUUACCCGCAGAAGAAGCACCGGCUAACUCCGUGCCAGCAGCCGCGGUAAUACGGAGGGUGCAAGCGUUAAUCGGAAUUACUGGGCGUAAAGCGCACGCAGGCGGUCUGUCAAGUCGGAUGUGAAAUCCCCGGGCUCAACCUGGGAACUGCAUUCGAAACUGGCAGGCUAGAGUCUUGUAGAGGGGGGUAGAAUUCCAGGUGUAGCGGUGAAAUGCGUAGAGAUCUGGAGGAAUACCGGUGGCGAAGGCGGCCCCCUGGACAAAGACUGACGCUCAGGUGCGAAAGCGUGGGGAGCAAACAGGAUUAGAUACCCGUGUAGUC
This 465-nucleotide ribosomal RNA is filed under the name uncultured Klebsiella sp. Its description in RNAcentral is "bacterial SSU rRNA". It matches the Rfam family "Bacterial small subunit ribosomal RNA", at positions 338 to 795 of the family's 1533-position model. Lineage: Bacteria; Pseudomonadati; Pseudomonadota; Gammaproteobacteria; Enterobacterales; Enterobacteriaceae. The record is from RNAcentral.